CGGCGUGCCUAAUACAUGCAAGUCGAGCGAACAGAUAAGGAGCUUGCUCCUUUGACGUUAGCGGCGGACGGGUGAGUAACACGUGGGUAACCUACCUAUAAGACUGGGAUAACUUCGGGAAACCGGAGCUAAUACCGGAUAACAUUUGGAACCGCAUGGUUCUAAAGUGAAAGAUGGUUUUGCUAUCACUUAUAGAUGGACCCGCGCCGUAUUAGCUAGUUGGUAAGGUAACGGCUUACCAAGGCGACGAUACGUAGCCGACCUGAGAGGGUGAUCGGCCACACUGGAACUGAGACACGGUCCAGACUCCUACGGGAGGCAGCAGUAGGGAAUCUUCCGCAAUGGGCGAAAGCCUGACGGAGCAACGCCGCGUGAGUGAUGAAGGGUUUCGGCUCGUAAAACUCUGUUAUUAGGGAAGAACAAACGUGUAAGUAACUGUGCACGUCUUGACGGUACCUAAUCAGAAAGCCACGGCUAACUACGUGCCAGCAGCCGCGGUAAUACGUAGGUGGCAAGCGUUAUCCGGAAUUAUUGGGCGUAAAGCGCGCGUAGGCGGUUUCUUAAGUCUGAUGUGAAAGCCCACGGCUCAACCGUGGAGGGUCAUUGGAAACUGGGAAACUUGAGUGCAGAAGAGGAAAGUGGAAUUCCAUGUGUAGCGGUGAAAUGCGCAGAGAUAUGGAGGAACACCAGUGGCGAAGGCGACUUUCUGGUCUGUAACUGACGCUGAUGUGCGAAAGCGUGGGGAUCAAACAGGAUUAGAUACCCUGGUAGUCCACGCCGUAAACGAUGAGUGCUAAGUGUUAGGGGGUUUCCGCCCCUUAGUGCUGCAGCUAACGCAUUAAGCACUCCGCCUGGGGAGUACGACCGCAAGGUUGAAACUCAAAGGAAUUGACGGGGACCCGCACAAGCGGUGGAGCAUGUGGUUUAAUUCGAAGCAACGCGAAGAACCUUACCAAAUCUUGACAUCCUUUGAAAACUCUAGAGAUAGAGCCUUCCCCUUCGGGGGACAAAGUGACAGGUGGUGCAUGGUUGUCGUCAGCUCGUGUCGUGAGAUGUUGGGUUAAGUCCCGCAACGAGCGCAACCCUUAAGCUUAGUUGCCAUCAUUAAGUUGGGCACUCUAGGUUGACUGCCGGUGACAAACCGGAGGAAGGUGGGGAUGACGUCAAAUCAUCAUGCCCCUUAUGAUUUGGGCUACACACGUGCUACAAUGGACAAUACAAAGGGCAGCUAAACCGCGAGGUCAUGCAAAUCCCAUAAAGUUGUUCUCAGUUCGGAUUGUAGUCUGCAACUCGACUACAUGAAGCUGGAAUCGCUAGUAAUCGUAGAUCAGCAUGCUACGGUGAAUACGUUCCCGGGUCUUGUACACACCGCCCGUCACACCACGAGAGUUUGUAACACCCGAAGCCGGUGGAGUAACCAUUUAUGGAGCUAGCCG
Molecule: ribosomal RNA, 1436 nt
Filed under: uncultured prokaryote
Description: bacterial SSU rRNA
Rfam family: Bacterial small subunit ribosomal RNA
Source: RNAcentral